Molecule: ribosomal RNA, 253 nt
Filed under: uncultured bacterium
Lineage: Bacteria
Description: partial 16S ribosomal RNA
Rfam family: Bacterial small subunit ribosomal RNA
Source: RNAcentral
UACGAAGGGGGCUAGCGUUGUUCGGAAUUACUGGGCGUAAAGGGCGCGUAGGCGGUACUUCAAGUCAGGCGUGAAAGCCCCGGGCUCAACCUGGGAACCGCGCUUGAGACUGGAGAACUAGAGUUCGGGAGAGGAUGGUGGAAUUCCCAGUGUAGAGGUGAAAUUCGUAGAUAUUGGGAAGAACACCGAUGGCGAAGGCAGCCAUCUGGACCGACACUGACGCUGAGGCGCGAAAGCGUGGGGAGCAGACAGG